Molecule: ribosomal RNA, 500 nt
Filed under: uncultured bacterium
Lineage: Bacteria
Description: partial 16S ribosomal RNA
Rfam family: Bacterial small subunit ribosomal RNA
Source: RNAcentral
AUUGAACGCUGGCGGCAUGCCUUACACAUGCAAGUCGAACGGCAGCACGGGAGCAAUCCUGGUGGCGAGUGGCGAACGGGUGAGUAAAGUAUCGGAACGUGCCCAGUCGUGGGGGAUAACGUAGCGCAAGUUACGCUAAUACCGCACACGAUCUAUGGAUGAAAGCGGGGGAUCGCAAGACCUCGCGCGAUUGGAGCGGCCGCUAUCAGAUUAGGUAGUUGGUGGGGUAAAGGCUCACCAAGCCGACGAUUGGUAGCGGGUCGGAGAGGACGACCAGCGACACUGGGACUGAGACACGGCCCAGACUCCUACGGGAGGCAGCAGUGGGGGAUUUUUGACAAUGGGCGAAAGCCUGAUCCAGCCAUGCCGCGUGCAGGAUGAAGGCCUUCGGGUUGUAAACUGCUUUUGUACGGAACGAAAAGGUUUGGCCUAAUAAGCUGAGCUCAUGACGGUACCGUAAGAAUAAGCACCGGCUAACUACGUGCCAGCAGCAGCCGCCG